Molecule: ribosomal RNA, 4467 nt
Filed under: Triticum aestivum (bread wheat)
Lineage: Eukaryota; Viridiplantae; Streptophyta; Magnoliopsida; Poales; Poaceae
Description: partial small subunit ribosomal RNA
Source: RNAcentral
GCGCCCCCUGCCACGCCACGCCACGCGACGCGAACCCCCUCCCACCCUUGCCGCGGCAUGGCGCUACACGCUAGUUGAGCAGCUAAUCCCAACCCGAACCCCGUGCGCUGCUGCGCUCGCCCUCCCCUCCCACCCGCCUCUUCGUCUCGGCUCGAUUCGUUCCCCCCACUCGGUCUUCGUCUCCCUUCCCCCCUCCCUCACCCCUCGCGCCUCUCGCCAGCGCCGCGCUCUCGCGUCCCGGCCGCCGUUUCCACCAUUUCUCUGGGCCGCUUGCCUCGCCCCGCUCCUGUUUUCUCCGCGGAGGCGACAUGAGGUGAGGCGGGUUUUCUUCCGGGACUUCGCCCAGCUUCCGUGCGCGCAAAGAUCCGAGGGGAGAAGCGGGCGUGGGAAGCGCAGGACCGCGGGUGAUGCAGAGGGAGGUGGGGCCGCAGGUGGCCUCCCCGCUGUACCUGCACCAGAUCCAGCCGCUGCCUCCCCAUGCGGCGGCGGCGGCCAGGAAGCGCGGCAGCCCGUGGCCCGCCGUGGAGCCGCCGGAGAACGCCCCCAUUGGGGCCGGCGCCGCGGCCGGAGGGAACUGGAACCCCAGCAUGUGGGACUGGGACAGCCGCGCCUUCACCGCCAGGCCGUCCUCCGACGCGCUCCGCCUCGGCGGCGGGCUGAACCACCACCAUCACCACCAACAGCAGCAGCAGGCGCAGCCGCCGCCGGCGACGGCUGCCGAGGUGCGGCGGCAGGGGGGCGGGGGUGCCGGUGACCUGAGCCUUCAGCUGACCCUGCGGGAGGAGGCAUCGAUGGCGAUGGAUGUGAGCCCGACAACUACCUUGUCUUCUUCGCCUUCUCCGCCUGCACGGGCGUCACAGGAGCAGGCUGUUAGGCCUAGCAAGAGGGUUCGGUCUGGAUCGCCCGGAACUGCUUCUGGAGGAGGCGGCGGCGGUGGUGGCGGAGGGAGCGCUAGCGGAGGCGGCAGCUAUCCCAUGUGCCAGGUGGAUGAUUGCCGCGCGGAUCUGACCAGCGCCAAGGAUUACCACCGGAGGCACAAGGUGUGUGAGAUCCACAGCAAGACAACCAAGGCGGUAGUUGGCAACCAGAUGCAGCGCUUCUGCCAGCAGUGUAGUAGAUUUCAUCCGCUCUCGGAGUUCGAUGAGGGUAAGAGGAGUUGCAGGCGAAGGCUUGCCGGACACAACAGACGGCGGAGGAAAACCCAGCCAACAGAUGUUGCUUCACAAUUGCUGCUUCCUGAAAACCAAGAAAAUGCAGCAAAUAGGACACAAGAUAUUGUCAAUCUGAUCACUGUUAUUGCACGCUUGCAAGGUGGUAAUGUUGGUAAACUACCCAGCAUCCCUCCGAUACCGGAUAAAGAUAAUCUGGUCCAAAUCAUAAGCAAAAUAAACUCAAUCAAUAAUGCAAACUCCGUGGCAAAGUCUCCUCCAUCAGAAGCCAUUGAUUUGAAUGCCUCGCAGGGGCAACAACAAGAUUCUUCUGUCCAAAAUGCAACAAAGGUGGUCGACAAGCAGACUGUGCCAUCAACCAUGGAUUUGCUAACAGUUCUAUCUGGUGCUCUUGGGACAUCAACCCCCGAGACCAAUACAUCUCAGUCCCAGGGGAGCAGUGAUAGCAGUGGUAAUAACAAGAGCAAGAGUCAUUCAACAGAGCCAGCAUGUGUUGUAAAUUCCCAUGAGAAAUCCAUUCGACCUUUUCCCGCAGCUGGUAUGUUAAGGAGUAGCAGCACCCAUGGAAGUCCACCUGAAGUAUAUAAGCAGCCAGACCGAGAUACCCAUCCGUACUUGUCGCUGCAAUUGUUUGGUAACAAUGAGGACAUUCCUGUGAAAAUGGACACUGCAAAUAAGUACUUGUCUUCCGAGAGCAGUAAUCCUAUGGACGAGAGGUCUCCUUCAUCCUCUCCACCUGUAACACACACAUUUUUCCCCACUCGUUCAGUAAAUGAAGGCAUCAGGCAUCCUCGUAUUGCUGACUAUGGAGAAGAUGGUGCAACAGUUGAGAACAGUACCACUCGGGCAUGGUGCGCGCCACCGCUUGAGCUUUUCAAGGAUUCAGAACGGCCAACGGAAAAUGGGUCACCACCAAACCCCACAUACCAGUCAUGUUAUGCUUCAACAUCUGGUUCAGACCAUUCUCCAUCAACGUCAAAUUCAGAUGGACAGGAUCGUACUGGAAAGAUUAUAUUCAAGCUCUUUGGCAAGGAACCUGGCUCAAUCCCUGGGAACCUUCGUGACGAGGUUGUAAAUUGGCUGAAACACAGCCCCACUGAAAUGGAGGGUUACAUUCGCCCUGGUUGCCUUGUACUAUCCAUGUAUCUGUCAAUGCCAACUAUUGCAUGGGAUGAACUUGAAGAAAAUUUCCUCCAGCGAGUAAACUCGUUAGUUCAGGCUUCUGAUUUGGAUUUCUGGAGAAAAGGGAGGUUUUUAGUUCGAAGCGACAACCAGUUGGUGUCGUACAAAGAUGGAAUGACCCGCCUCUCAAAAUCAUGGAGAACAUGGAAUACCCCUGAGUUGACCCUUGUGACACCAAUUGCUGUUGUUGGUGGGAGAAAGACCUCUCUCGUUCUUAAGGGCCGUAAUCUAACGAUCCCGGGCACCCACGCGGGGAAGUAUAUAUCGAAAGAGGUACUAUGUUCAGCGUAUCCGGGUACCAUAUAUGAUGAUUCAGGAGUCGAGACCUUUGACUUACCGGGAGAACCAAGUCUUACUCUUGGGCGUUGCUUUAUUGAGGUUGAGAACAGGUUCAGAGGAAACAGCUUCCCUGUUAUUUUUGCGAAUAAAAGCAUCUGUCAGGAGUUAAGAAACCUUGAAGAUGAACUUGAAGAUUCGCGGUUUCCUGAUGUCUCUCCAGAUGAUCAGGUCCAUGAUGCUAGGCGGCUAAAGCCAAGGGAUCAAGUUCUGCAUUUUCUUAAUGAACUUGGCUGGCUCUUUCAGAAGGCCGCUGCAUGCACACCUUCCACCAAAUCAGAUGUUUCUCAUUCAGAGUUGAUUCAGUUCUCUACUGCACGGUUCAGACACCUUCUGUUGUUUUCAAAUGAGCGGGACUGGUGCUCCCUCACUAAAACACUACUCGAAAUUCUUACCAAGAGAAGUAUGGUUAGUGACGAGUUAUCACAUGAGACUCUGGAGAUGCUCUCCGAGAUUCAUCUUCUGAACAGGGCAGUGAAAAGGAAGAGUAGCCACAUGGUGCAUUUGCUUGUGCAGUUUGUUGUAAUUUGCCCUGACAAUUCCAAACUGUACCCUUUCCUUCCAAAUUAUCCCGGCCCUGGUGGUUUGACUCCAUUACAUCUAGCUGCAUCCAUUGAUGAUGCAGAGGAUAUAGUUGAUGCGUUGACAGAUGAUCCUCAACAGAUUGGUUUGAGCUGCUGGCACUCCGUGCUAGACGAUGAAGGGCUAUCUCCUGAAGUGUAUGCGACGUUCAGGAACAACGGCUCAUACAAUGAACUUGUCACGCGAAAGCUUAUGGACAGGAAGAAUAGCCAGGUUACCAUUGUGCUCAACAAAGGUGAAAUUCAUAUGGAUCAACCAGGGAAUGUUGGUGCGAAUAAUGCAUCUGGGAUCCAAGCAUUGGAAAUAAGAUCCUGCAACCAGUGCGCCAUUUUGGAGUCUGGCUUACUAAGACGCCCUAUGCGUUCUCGAGGAUUGCUUGCUCGCCCCUACAUCCAUUCAAUGCUUGCCAUAGCAGCAGUGUGUGUCUGUGUCUGUGUAUUCAUGCGAGCUUUGCUGCGGUUUAAUUCUGGUAGGUCCUUCAAGUGGGAGAGGUUGGAUUUCGGUCCCACAUAGACAUUGGAGGAUGCCUUAUUACUUAGCCGCGUGAUGUUAUUAAGGAAAUACCUUACAAGAACCAGAGGGUGUGGAACCAGAUUGCUUUUAACCUUUCCAGUUUCCAUGGAACUCUGCCCAUGGACAUGGAUGAUGAAAUGUAAUAUUUGCAUGGAUAAAACCUUGCCGGAAGAAAGUGUUGAUAUGUGGGGAUAAUCAGCAGCCAGCUUCUAAGGGCAGAGAAUCAAGAAAAGGGGGAUUGGAGAACCCUGCCAAAAGAUAAAACUUGGGCAGGGUUGGCACAUAGUAGUUUUGUGACGAGGGAGGAAGGUACAAGAGCUUGUCAAUGUCAAGAGCAAUAAGACAGAGGCAACAAUAGUUCUGUGCUUAAUCAGUAAGUAACCUUGAUUUCUUUUUUGCUGGUGUAAGUGUGAAUCUGCUGUUUCAUGUAUCAUAAGAUGGUAUUUAUUUAUCUUGGUCUCUGUUCUUACUAAAUCUUUUUUGUGUAUCCAAUACAGUGUUUCUUACUGUUUUGUCUUGUGUUUAGACGGUAGCAGGGGGAAGUAUAAAUGGUCGAUAGUGUCAGUAGCUAAAUAGGAAUGAGGCAGAUUUACAUGUGUAUCCGGAUCUAUUGGUUUAUUCGAUUACCAUAACAACUCUGGAGUUCCCGUUUUGAUAGAAAGCCUGGGUAUCUUUUUUGUUCUGU